Molecule: RNA transcript, 4629 nt
Organism: Tympanuchus pallidicinctus (lesser prairie-chicken)
Lineage: Eukaryota; Metazoa; Chordata; Aves; Galliformes; Phasianidae
Gene: HEMK1
Gene name: HemK methyltransferase family member 1
Exons: 12
Source: RefSeq, a predicted model, not a curated record
CCGCUCCCUUCUGCUCAGCCACGAGCACCGGGUGAUCUCAGCGUUGCCCGUGGAGCUUGGUUAAUCCUUUGUUACUCUUAAGGGUGUGAGUAGCUGGUUUGUACCCGUGGGUGUUGGUCGAGCAGCAGUCUGCAUUCCAUUCAGAAGGGAACUUGCAGUCUUUGGCUUCUGGGCAUUCAGGUUGUACUUCUGUCUCUUCUUUCUAGGCCAGCAGAGCUGCAAGCCUGGUGACCUUUUUCUUCUGCCCUGAAGAGCAUCUGCUAAUUGUGAUCAGGUGGUGCUUAGCCCAAGUGGCUUGUGGCUGCAUUGAGUGUUGUGUGAGUCUCUUCAUGGAUUAGAUCAGCUGACAGAAACAAGGAGCCCACGUGGAAUCCAGGAGGUGACUUUGCAACAAUGAGAUGCGUCAGCCCCUCACUUUUCAGGAGGUUCUGGGGACUUUUGCCUCAGUAUGUGUCAGCGGGACCUAGUCAAAGUCCUAACCUCAGUUCCAAACAGUCGUCUUUGAGACAGAGCUGCAGUGUAAGACCUGGGCUGCUGACUGCCCCUGAUGUGGUCAGCUACUGGCAAAAGGUGUUUGAGAAGAACGGGAUCCCUGAAGCACGAGAAUCCAGUGAAUAUAUCGUGUCAUUUGUCUUGGGAGCAAAAACAUUUCAGAGCUUGGACUCCGAAAAACUCCGCUCUCCGCUUACAGCAGUGCAGCAGGAGCAGAUCCAGCAACUGAGCUGCAAGCGACUGGAAAGAAUGCCAGUGCAAUAUGUGCUUGGUGAGUGGGACUUUCAGGACCUGAAUCUGAAGAUGAGACCUCCAGUAUUUAUUCCUCGUCCUGAAACAGAGGAUCUCAUCUCUCUGGUUGUGGAAGAAGAAUCUCGGAAAUGUGAGGCGAAGAAUUCAGCCUUUUUGGUUGCUGUCCCAUCUCCUGUGAUCCUGGAGAUUGGCUGUGGCUCUGGAGCAAUUGCUCUGGGUCUCCUGUGCAAGAUACCACAGAGCCGAGUGAUAGCUGUGGAUAAAGAAGAGGCUGCUGUGGAUCUCACCAGGGAGAAUGUACAUAGGCUGCAACUCCAAGACAGGAUCCACAUCCUCCACCAUAAUGUUUCAUAUGGUUCUGCCAAACAUCUGCUACCUUGGGGCCCAAUGGACUUCAUAGUCAGUAACCCUCCAUAUGUCUUCCAUGAAGACAUGGCUUCCCUGGAUGCAGAGAUCCUCUGCUAUGAGGACCUUGAUGCACUGGAUGGGGGAGAUGACGGGAUGAGAGUCAUUAAAAUAAUUCUGACUCUGGCUCCUUCUCUUCUGAAGGAUUCUGGGAGUGUGUUUCUGGAAGUUGAUCCCAGGCACCCUGAUUUGGUGGAGGAUUGGCUAUGUGCACAUCCCGACUUGCUCCUCGAACUUCGUGCUGUUCACAAGGAUUUCUGUGGCAAACCCAGGUUUCUGCACAUCCAAAAGCAAAGCAGAUGACAACUGUACCAGGAACAACAUCCUUUCUUGCAGUAAGGCUUUGAAAUGUGAGACUUUACAAAGAAGGCCAGAAUGACUGCUCCAGUAUUUCUGAGAUGGAGAAGUCAAAAAGUUUCAGUGGUGUGAAGGGAGCUGUAGUGGUGGGCAGGCCAAGGCAGUCUCAUCCUGGGCCUGUGGACUUCACUCGAGGUAAGUCACUCCCAUGCUUGGCUGUCAUUGUGCAGUCUGAGCUGUGUGAUAACAGUGUGAAACAUGCAGUGUUGAGAUGAGAAUGGCUCUUCAGCCGUGCCCUUCAGUGCCUUUUCUGAUGGGCUCAGCAGUACCAUGGGGCACUUACUGGCUGCAGGCUUGGGGCGAGCUGUGGCUGGGGGAGAUGGAUGAGUGUUUCCAGUGUGAUGCAGUGCAUACACAGCUCCUGUGCCAGUCCUGGCCCUGCACGGGGGCUGUCUGGAAGGAGACUCUACGGAGUGCCCUAAAAAUAUCCGAGUGUCACUCAGGGUAGGAAGGUGGGGAUGCCCAGAGCUCUUUUGUCCCUUACUCUGUGUGCUGGAGGACUUGGCAUUGGCUGCUGUCUCUUGCUUUGUUCUGUGUCUGUCUUUGUCGUAGCGGGUUUGGUGAACGUGCUUCCCUUCAAGUUUUUUCUUGUUGGCAUGACAGUGAAGUAAAGAGAUGUGGAUAAAGUGCAGCUGUUCUUUUCAAAGCAUAUGUCUGUGCACAGGAGAACUUGAGGUUCCGGCAAAGCGUCACAAGAUCUAUGAAAUACUGUUGCUGUAGAGUAACUUCCGUUGAACAGCAGUUGAUUGUGUUCAGCUGGCUGAGGAGACAGCAGUUAGCAUCAAGGAGCAAAAAAAAAACCAACAGAACAAUCUUAAAACAACAAUCCAAGUGAAAGCAAAUUGUAUCUCCAAAAACUUUGAGCAUAUCUCUGUGUUUGGCUGUUAUUCUUUAUUUAUUAUUGUUAUUAUUUUUGCUGGGGAAACAAUCUACAUUUAGUAAAUCUUUUAGUGAACACGUUUCCCCUUGAUUCUCAAAAAGCUCUCAGGUUUUAACAAAUCGUGUGUGCAUGUGUGUAGGUUAAAAAAAAAUAAAAAUGAUAGCAUGUUCACUUGAGAAUGUCGUUUAUACAUUUAAGCUGUAAUAGUCAGGCAGUCUUGAGUAGCUUGUAGCUUAUAAAAGUGGCAUAAAUAUCUCAUGAUAGGAAGUUAAGAAGCUUGAGCUCUUGAGACUGCAGAACUCCAUGUGACCUGGAUGGAUUGGUGUGUGACAAAUGGGCCUUCUGGCUCCAGGUGACUUCUCAGGAUUCGCUAGUGAGCGUUCCUCCUCCUCUCGGAAUUUAGACAUUUCAGGUUAAAACUUAUUUAACAUUAACUAAUUUUAAGAAGAAAGGACCAUUGCUAUCCUUGCUGAAUGCCAAAAGUACAGCCAGAGCAGAAAUAAUCACAUCUCAUCAAGGCUACGUGCUGCAGCUCAGUAAGCUCCCAUCAAACCCACCUUUUCUAUAGAUGGCUUUUUCUUCCCUGACUUCUCCUUUCUGAAGGCUUGGUUAGGUAGGAGACUAUGCAGCUGAACUCAUCAGACCUGGUUUCUCAGAAGAGAACAAGACAUGCUUCAGAAAGAAGGGCAAAAGCUCUUUCCAUUGCCAGCAGUGUGUUCAUCCCACCUCCUCCAUGACUGCUUGCAGACUGCAAAGCUGAAGUUCCCUCUGCACCCUCUGAAGGGAGCCUAACGUGGCGUUGAAGCCAGUUGCCUUUCCCCUGGAUGAAGGGUCAGGGAUCCGGCACAAGUUCUCCCCACUGACUGGUUUUUGCUCUGGCAAUAGCACAGAAUUCCCUGUUGCUGUCGGUAGCGUUUCAUUCCCGGAGACCUCUGUGAUCUGCAAGUACCUCGUGGCAGGUGAGGGGAAAGGGAACAGGCCUUGUGAUGUUGUGGUGAGCCAAAGCAGUGGUGAAAACAGCCCUUCAAGUCUUUCACGCUGAUAGCACUGGGUAAUAUCCUGGGUCAGCCAGCCAACCUGACCUCCACGGUGGUUGCCUGCUAAGUCCAGGCUGCCUUCAGAGCCUCAGAGCUGGGGGUGCUGGCUGUUUUAAGGCUUUGGCACAGAGUUGCUUGUUUUAUCCUAGAUAAGAGAGGUUGAGACACAAAGGCUUUCUUUGUGGCGUUUUUGUUGCAUAGUGAUUUCUGAUGGCCAGAAACAGCCCUGAGUAGGGUACUGUUGUUUCACAUAUGGCUAGAAAAGCAUAUAACUUUCUCCAAGGACACUGGUGUUGCCAAGUUACCCAACUCCAAGUCACCCUGUUGCAGAACACUGCAUAUGGGACCAUACACGGAAAUCACUGCUAUAUUGAAGGCAGUACAAAAUAAGAGGUGCUUGUUUAGCAGUGCGUCAUGGAGACAUGUAGCAACAUUUUCUGAGAACUCACGUUGGCUCAAGUAGUAUCAAAGGGGAAUUCAGCCUGUGGUUGUAACCUGUGCCAGGGGUUCCCAGGUUUAUGUUGCGCUGGUAGCAGCAAUAGCAACCGUGGGCAUAAGCAGCAGUCAUUGUUAUCAUUGCUGGAGCCAAGGGUGGAUCAUGAGACAGUGGUCACUACAGACGUGCUGUUUCAUGCCUAUAGGAAGACAUGCCUCUAAUUUCUCCUGUGUAGCCUUUGGUCGUGUGCUUUCAUAAUCACCAACCUACCAUCGUCCUCCCCAGCAGGACCCCUGCUCCCUGUCCCAAGUCGAGACCCGCACUUCACCCUUCAUUUACUGAACCCCAUCUCCAUCUCCUGUGCUCAUGGAGAUGUUGGCACCAGGGCUGUGGCAGUUCUUCCCUCAGUGAUUUCAGUACCACAGCUUAGCUGCUCGUAAACACAUUAAGAUCUCUGCUCUCCGGGAUAGCCCUUGUUUCACUGCAGUGGCUGCAUCCAGCAAAAAGAUGUUCCCUGAAAAUAACAAUAACAUUAAAAAAGCUGAGGGUUUUACACAGACCUUUGAGGUAAGAUUAACUCAGGAGGCCAGUCCAUUGCUGAGAGGCACUAACCACUGAGUGCCAGAAAUGUAUUCUUUGUGAACUGCACUGUGUUAGUAAAGAAUUAAUUGAUGAAGUAUCAGAACAGUCCAGGGUAAAAUAUCAUAUGUGUAUGGAAAAGAUGGUGAUGAAUGGGAAACUUCAAAAUAAAUCAAGCUGUGUUGCCUUUU